CUCCCUCCCCGCAACCCUAGGUCACCGUUUUCCCCCUCCUCUCCUCUGUGGAGCCGUCGGGGGCAUUCCCGAGCAGAGCCACCGCCAUAGCAGGCUCCUAGUGAGCUCGUCGCCGGCAGAUCAGCACCCUGUCUUCUUCCCCGACUGGAUCAGGAGCACGCGGUGGACCAGGGGGUUCCAUUCCCGGCAAGAUCGGGCGACGGGAGCGGCUACAUCGGCGACCUCGACUUCUUCCUCUUCUUCCACUACGCCAGCCCCUUCUGCAGCGCAUCAUCAUUGGCAGCUCUUCCUCCUCGGCGAGAUCCUCUCCUCUCAACCCUAGGUGAGCGAGGCCCAUGCUCUCCUCCUCUUCCCUCUCGUUUGAUGCGUCUGAGCCCUCUGCUCGAGGCCUGCCGGAGUUGCACCGGCAGGUUGAGUUGUUGCUUGCGCUGUUGCUUGCUGUCGCUUGCUAUUUCUUGUUGCUUGGGAGUAGAUCCUCUGGUCAUGGCCGAUGCGUCCCUCUCGUAGGUGUAGAGCAGCCGCAGGAGUCCCCGUGGAUGUGUUUGUGCGUGUGUAGGACGGCCGCUCCGUUGAGCUCGUCGUCGGCACCUCUCUGCAAAAGCAGAGCAAGGCCGCCCCUUUUCCUAGCUCACCUGAUUAGAUCUCCCCCUCUCGGACAGUAGCACGCGCCAGCUCGACUGGUCUGUUCCCUGCGCGCAGUUCGGCGCGACAUGGGUUCGAAUCCCCGCCGGGCCCUUUUAUUUUGCUAUUUUGAUGGUAGUGGUACUCGGCAAAGCUAGUUCACUUGGGAUCCUUCCCCUUAUAUGCCGAGAACAGUGCGCUAGUGAAGUGGUGUAUGCAUGUGUGUUGCACCAGAGGCUCCUGGGUUCGAGUCCAGGGGCUCCCCUUUUAUUUUUUGCUGCCUUGUAUUUUAUAUUCACUAUUCCAUUCUUGGGCAACAAGACAGCCUUGUUUCCUUUAUCAAUCUAGUGGAAUGCAUCUCUUUUAAUGCCUAGGUUUACAUGUGAGUGUGUGUGUGUGUGCAAGUAUAUGUGUGUGCAUGUAGUGGGUGUGUGCAAGUGCUUGUGUGUGUGUAUUAGAUGAUGUUUGCACUAGUGUGUGUAGAGGUUGUGUGCACUAGUUUGUGGGUGUGUGUACACACAUGUGAGUGUGUGUGUGUGUGCAUGUGGUUGCACAUGCACAUGUGCAAGAGGGAAGCUCCUCUAGAUGCACCUCUUGUAGUGUGUGUGUGUAAGCACAUAUAAUUGUGUGUAUGUGUUCAUGCAUGUGUGUGUGGGGGCAUGAGUGCACAUAUGCAUUUGUGCAUGAGGGCUAACCCCUCAUGCUUGCCACUAUGGUGUGAUGUGGUGGUGUGUGGGCUUGUGUGUGUGCAUGUGUAGGUGUAGGUGUUGCUACAUAUGCCUUAUUCACAUGUGAUAAUGUCUUAUAUGAUCAUAUAUGAUUCUAUGUUGUUUUUCGAGCUAGUUUUGUGCCUACAUGUUACAUGCAAGUACCCAUGUAUUAUAUAUGUUUUUGGGGUAAUCAGAUUUCACUUUAGAACAACUUCAUAAACUGUCAUUUUUCUAUCAUGAUGCCAUGUUUAGAGCUUUGUAUUAUGUGGUGUGUUGGCCCUAUGACGAUGAAUUCUUGAUGUGGCAGUAGUGGGUGAACCCCUCUACAACAUGGGGUCUUUGUUUUAUUCAUAGGAAUUUGUAUGCACCUUUUGUGCCUUGUCAAAGUUGACACUUGGCUGAAACUGACAGCUUUGUGAAAAUCUGUGAUUUUCACUAAGUCUGAGAAUCUGCUGUUAUUUUCUUCCCUUGUUGUUUUGGUUGCAAAAGCUCAUGUGUUGGGAAUCAGCCCAUGCAACAAACUAAAGUUUGUGAGCUUUUGUGUUUGUCUAGCUCAGUGUUAAAUUUUAUGCUUAUUCACUUCCUGUAGAUAUCAUUUUGGAGGCUGCCAAAAUGCUUCAGAGCAUAAGCAGCUGGUGAAAGUCUGAGAUUUUCACUAAGUCCCAGAAUCUGUAAUGUUUUAUCCAUUUUGGUGCAUGUAGAUCUGCUCAUGUGUGACUCCUAUGUAUAAACUUCUUGCACAGGCUUGUAUAGCUUUUGAAUGGAUUUUGCCUAAUAUCUUGUUUGGCUCAUUUCGGUGGUUGUAGGUAUUUUAAAUGUUGUGGACAAACUGCUAUGAUGCUGUUAAAAACAGAUUGCAUGUUUUACUUGUUUUGAAGCUUGCGUGGGCAUUGUUGAUGGUGUGGUGUGUUUCCAUGCACCAACCCACUUGCAUUUGAUUGGUUUGAUCAUGAGGCAACCUGGUAACACCACAGGAGUGCCAUUGGAGUGUGCUUGUGGUUGAUUUGAACCGUAGGACUCCACAUCUUGUUUUGUAGUUUCCGGUUGAUCCGUAGCUCUGUUCUCUACGUUCUUUAUAUGUUUUUUCUUCGUUUUCUCGUGUUGCACAUGUUCAUGCCAUCAUCAUGCAUGUCAAGAUAACUUAAUAUGAAGUUCUGUCCAGAAUUCUAUUAACUCAACUAAUGCAUAUGAAAGUGACUAGAAUAGUGAUGCAUGCUUCCUUCUUCACUCAUGCAUCAUAUUGUUUGUUGCAUCAUGAGUGUUGGUGUUCAUUGGCUGUUAUUUUUUCUUGGGUAGCGUCGGGGUCGGAGAGCGAGUACAUGGAUUCUGGAGAGUACGUGCAGGAAGAUCAAGAGUUGUUCCAAGCUGAAGACAUCACAGGCAAGAUGACCGUGACCUUGAUACCGUAUCUAGCUUUGUUAUGCUUAGAAUCUCGUUUCCUUCGAUAUGUGAUCGCUGCGUACCACUUGAUAUAAAUGCCUCCUGGCAUUGCCAUGAAACCCAAACACCUUCCUCUCCUAGCAAAAGUUGUUUGGCUAAGUAGGCCUGCUCAGCUUCUAAUGGAUAGCUUUGCUAGUUGCAGGUGCCAGCUGUCUCAUGUGAUAACAUGAGUAUUUUGAUAUCAUUAUGUUUAAACUGCUAUUUAGAUUAAUGCACCUAUAUACUUGGUAAAUGACGGAAGGCCUAGCCUUUUGCCGGGUGAUUUGUUCCAUUAUUGCCACCUUAGUUUCGGUUACCGGUGUUUGAUUCCAUAAUUGAUCGCUCCUAACACGUUCGGGGUUGUUAUGGGGACCCCCUUGAUAAAUCGUGUAGUGUUAAGGCUUGUCUGGCAGGACCCAACAUUGGUUUUAAUUUGCUAAUCACCUAAUAAUAAUUUUCAUAGGGAAUACCUACCCCGAGGAUUUAAACAACAACCCGGGCCAGUGCUCCUCAUGAGUGUUGGUCCAAACUAGAGUCGUGUGCGGGGCCAACCCGGGGCAACUCGGGAGAUUUCUAUCAGGCCACUAUACGCUGCGCUCAUCCGACCGUGUCGUGAGAACGAGAUACGCGGCUCCUAUCGGGUUCGUCGACACGUCGGGAGGUCUUGCCAGAUUUGUCUUACCUUAGCGAUAUAUCUUGCGUACAGAAAUCCCGGUGAAACUUUGGGUCUCCUCAAAGUUGAGGUUUUCCUCUAAGGAAUCCGACGAGAUUACGAGAUUCGUGAUAGAGGAUUACUUUGCGGCCCGUGGCAGUUUGUGAUGGACUAGUUGGAGCACCCCUGCAAGGUUUAAUCUUUCGGAAAGUCGUGCCCGCGGUUAUGUGGCAAACUUGGAUAAUUUGUUAACAUCCGGUUCUAGACAACUUAAAGUAACUCUAAUAAAACUGCCAACUAUGUGUGUAUCCGUGAUUGUCUCCUUCGAAGACCUCUCUUCGAUCAGCAACACGGUGGGGUUAUGUUUGACGUAAGUAGGUGUUCAGGAUCACUUAGUGAUCAUCUAGUCUUCGAUCUCUCGUGUAGACCACCAUAUAAAUCACUGUGUUCAUCAUAAGUUAGCCAGCAUACAUGCUUAGGUUGCUGAAAACCCAUACACCAAACCUUCCUCACCUAAUAACUUGACUAGAUUCGAUACCAAGGUCAUCCGAUUACUAAGUCCCCGUGGCUCACAGUUUACUACAACACCCCAACAGGUACAGGUACGCCCGAGGCAGGAGAUCCUGAUGGCACCCAGCUGACGUGGCAGUACGAUGAGGAGUCUAACCGACUGUACGUGAAUUAUCCGGAGGACUGAGGCCAUGGUCGUGAUCGUGGGCCAGCAGGCGGGAUGUCAUAGCUCUUUUACUUGGUUCAUGUUGUCCGUAGUGGUACUAAACUUUGCUCUGAAUAAUUGUGUGGCUGUAAACCUUAUGUUAUACUAUGUCAGAUGGCAAGUGUAUGCCCUACAUGUCAUUCUUCAAUUAUGUAAUGUCAUGAUUAUCUCGCUUGCGAAACGUUUAGAUGCGCCUCUUUCCCUUUUGGGGCAUCUCCCCCAAAAUAGGAAAUGACGCAUCUUAGUCGUUACACAUGUGCCUCCCGAAUGUGUUGGCCGAAGCAUUAGAGGCCAGAUACCCCCUGACCAGCUCGUGACCGGCCAACCAUGUUUUGCGUGAUUAUAGACCUUGCGUUGAACUAAAGGACAUGAUAUCCGUCAUCCCCAUUACCCUAAUGCCGGUUGGGGCUUGGCCUGCGGUCAUGAGGUC
This 4547-nucleotide long non-coding RNA is filed under the name Hordeum vulgare. RNAcentral's name for it is "long non-coding RNA (HVUL_LNC019045)". Lineage: Eukaryota; Viridiplantae; Streptophyta; Magnoliopsida; Poales; Poaceae. The record is from RNAcentral.